UGAGGGAACUGACAGCUGGAGACGGUCUGCUGACCCCUCCACCUGCAGUUGACCAGUAGGUCCUUCCUUGAAGGGAGAUCUGGGGAACACAUCACCAGGUGUCCCACGGUAACAUGAGAGUGCAUAAACCUCAGGGUGCAGCUUGGUGAUUUCACCCAGAGCCCUGAUUGUGUUCAGGCGUCCGCACUCCUCCACAUAGCCCUGUGCUUCAGGGGCAGAUGGCCCAGCUCUGAGCUACUGAAGGGGCAUCCUGAUUGCCUAAUCCAAUCAUGGCUCCACAUCCCUCCGGCCGUGGACAUAGGACCCAGUUCUGGCUGCGGAAAUGCCAGAGGCUCCUGGGAAAGUCAUCUUUGUUCCUGCCAAAGAGAACAGGAAGAGGUGCUGCAUUUCUUACUUUGGACGUUGUGGGGCCUGAGGGCAAAUCCCAUACAGUGAGCACAGAGAUUUACCUAAAAGAAUCCGGGCCUUUGGUGAUGUUGGGUGCCAGUGUUCACAUUGUGCCUGAAGAACAACCUUCUGCUAGUCUAUAUUUCCUCCUGAUUUAAGCCAGUUUGAAUCAGGGUUUCAGUCCCUUUCAGUUGAAAGCAGCUAGUGACCUGGGUGAAUGACUGAAAGUGGACAUCCUUGGUGGACUGUGAUGUGCAGGGCCAGCUUGAGGAGUGUGUGACCUGUGCCACGACAUAAGGCCUCAAGCUUCGUCUUCAAGACACUAGGCCAGAUGUGUCAUCUGUGAAACCCACCAGCUUAACUGUAAAAUGGGAGAUUGAACCAUUCAUCAGCUCAUACCUCUGGAUACCUUCCAACACUGUUAAGAAUUCAGCUUUCCUCCCACCCACUUCGGAUGACAACAUUUCCUACCCUGCUUUGCUUGAGGCUGCACCCAUAAGACUAGUUCUGGCUCAAGGGCUAUGAACAGAAGUGAUAUGGGCAGUUCUGGGCCGAAGCAUUUAGCGUUAGUGUGUGACCCUCCAGCUUUCCCUUCCCUUGCUGCGACAAUUGUGGAGGCCAUACCUUUAGAUGGUGGAGCCACAAGAUGGAAACAGCCUGGAUCCUUGAGUCACCAGAUGGAAAAUACCUAUCCUGAAGAGUUUCCCAUCUCACAUUGGACAUGUGUAUGCACAAGAAAUACAAGCCUUUGCUGUGGUGAGUGAAGAACAACAUGGUGCACUUCAUCAGGAUGUUGGCAAAUCCCAGAGUCACAGGAAUGGAAAGGACCUUUGUGGUGAGAGCAAGUUGAAAGGGAAUGUGAGCAAAAAAAUUGAAAGGGCAAGAGAGCAUCUACCUGCAGAGGAAUGCUGGCUGCCAUAGGCCAGCGGCCCUCAUUACCUUGAAGACAUUCUCAAAUUUCAGCUUUGGGCCUCAGGAACUAGGUGCUGGCAGUUCCUCAGGGUUGACUGGCUGGGGGAGGCUGACACAUCAUAUAACUCAU
RNAcentral lists this long non-coding RNA (1429 nucleotides) under Equus caballus (horse). RNAcentral describes it as "lncRNA (ENSECAG00000046426.1)". The record is from RNAcentral. Lineage: Eukaryota; Metazoa; Chordata; Mammalia; Perissodactyla; Equidae.